GACGAACGCUGGCGGCGUGCUUAACACAUGCAAGUCGAACGGUGAACGAGGGAGCUUGCUCCCUCCGGAUCAGUGGCGAACGGGUGAGUAACACGUGAGCAAUCUGCCCCGAACUCUGGGAUAAGCGUUGGAAACGACGUCUAAUACCGGAUACGACGCGGGAGGACAUCCUCUCCGCGUGGAAAGAACUUCGGUUCGGGAUGAGCUCGCGGCCUAUCAGCUUGUUGGUGAGGUAACGGCUCACCAAGGCGACGACGGGUAGCCGGCCUGAGAGGGUGACCGGCCACACUGGGACUGAGACACGGCCCAGACUCCUACGGGAGGCAGCAGUGGGGAAUAUUGCACAAUGGGCGCAAGCCUGAUGCAGCAACGCCGCGUGAGGGACGACGGCCUUCGGGUUGUAAACCUCUUUUAGCAGGGAAGAAGCGAAAGUGACGGUACCUGCAGAAAAAGCACCGGCUAACUACGUG
This 470-nucleotide ribosomal RNA is filed under the name uncultured bacterium. RNAcentral describes it as "partial 16S ribosomal RNA". It matches the Rfam family "Bacterial small subunit ribosomal RNA", at positions 28 to 507 of the family's 1533-position model. The record is from RNAcentral.